AUUGAACGCUGGCGGCAGGCCUAACACAUGCAAGUCGAGCGGAUGAAGGGAGCUUGCUCCUGGAUUCAGCGGCGGACGGGUGAGUAAUGCCUAGGAAUCUGCCUGGUAGUGGGGGAUAACGUCCGGAAACGGGCGCUAAUACCGCAUACGUCCUGAGGGAGAAAGUGGGGGAUCUUCGGACCUCACGCUAUCAGAUGAGCCUAGGUCGGAUUAGCUAGUUGGUGGGGUAAAGGCCUACCAAGGCGACGAUCCGUAACUGGUCUGAGAGGAUGAUCAGUCACACUGGAACUGAGACACGGUCCAGACUCCUACGGGAGGCAGCAGUGGGGAAUAUUGGACAAUGGGCGAAAGCCUGAUCCGGCCAUGCCGCGUGUGUGAAGAAGGUCUUCGGAUUGUAAAGCACUUUAAGUUGGGAGGAAGAGCAGUAAGUUAAUACCUUGCUGCUUUGACGGUACCAACAGAAUAAGCACCGGCUAACUUCGUG
This 484-nucleotide ribosomal RNA is filed under the name uncultured bacterium. Its description in RNAcentral is "partial 16S ribosomal RNA". It matches the Rfam family "Bacterial small subunit ribosomal RNA", at positions 30 to 507 of the family's 1533-position model. The record is from RNAcentral.